AUGAGAAAUGGAUUUAUAACUUAACACAGUGUCUUUGGCUUCUGACUCGGACCCUUUCCUGAUAAUUCCCCACUCCACUUUGUAUUGCAGUGGCAUCUGAUCCCUGCCUUGAUAUCUUCAGGGAGCUCAGAACUCAGAUCUUAAAAUGGCAAAGGAUGUAGCAUUUCCUGGAAUGGCUCAUGACAGAUAUUCUUCCUCUGAGUACUAGUUUAGACUUACAGUGGGAGGAAAUCCCAGCAGAUAACAGGAAAAAAUAGUUUUGAUUUUAAGAAGAAAAGAGCUUAAAAGGAAACAGGAAGCUGAUGUUGGCAGUCUGACCUGUGCUGCAUGAGGAAUCUGAUUUCAAAAGCCUUCCCAAAUGCAGGCUUAAGGGAUGCAAACUGCCAUGACGUUUGCAGCAAUUGAGGAAUUCUGUCAUUGGCUCACACUGCUCUCUCUUUUAUAGGAAAGUGAAAGCAUAAGACUUAGUAUGUCACUGUUAUGUGCUUAUGCAUUCUUGAUCCUACAAAAACUGCAAAAAAAAAAAGACUAUGAAAAGGUCAGAGUCCACCAAGAAAUGCAGGUGUUCAGCAGAGCUCUGGAAGCGAAUAGGAGGAGGUCACCAGUGCUAUGGCUGAAGCUUUUCAUGAAUUUCCAUAGAAUCUUAAUGAGUUCUAAAGAACGUUGCUCUUAUUUCUGAAACCGUUCAUUUUGAUCUCUUUUAGAACUAAGAGGCUAGUAACAGAUAACUUAUUUGUACAGAGCCUUGUUUUGAAACAGCACAUUGAAAAAAAAAAAAUGAAACCUCAGUCUGCAGCACCUGACUUGGAUUUCUGAAGAACUCUGUCACCUUCCAUCCACUCUGGUGUGUCUGUGGAGUCACGUACUGGGGCUGAGGCAAACACAAUGUUGUGUUUCCUUCUGUUUCACCUGCUUUUACUCAUUGUUUUCUUGGAUUAUUUUUUCUGGCAUUUCUCCUGAGCGCUGCGAAGGUACAUGGAAAACAAACACGACUGCUGACAGUCAACAUGGCUUCACUAAUGGCAAAUUGCACCUGACAAAUUUGGUGGCCGCCUUUGACAGGGUGACAGCAUUGGGAGAGAAGCUGAAAGAAAACUCAUCUGAACCAGGGAGUCGGGAGAGCCACGCUGACGUUCCUUCCUGUGCCUAUCAGUGUUGAUGAGUUCAGGACUGAAUCAAAAGGCAUCCCUGAGCUACCUGCUGGCCACAGUAGUGCCCUACAGCAGAAAAGGUUUAUGCCUUGACACCAGAUGCAAACAGGCACGUGUGCUCUCCCCAGACACGUGCUGUUGUGUUAACUUGCAUAUGUGGAUUUGGACGAUGCGUUGUGGGCAGUGCUGUGAGCAAGCAUGGGAGGCAGUGCAUGGCCUGGCUUGCUUCAAGUUUGGUACAGGAGUGCUGCGUGUUGCAUGCUGUGUGUGAGAAGGGUGGGGUAGCUGCAAGGAGCUGCUG
RNAcentral lists this long non-coding RNA (1452 nucleotides) under Gallus gallus (chicken). Lineage: Eukaryota; Metazoa; Chordata; Aves; Galliformes; Phasianidae. The record is from RNAcentral.